RNAcentral lists this ribosomal RNA (328 nucleotides) under uncultured eukaryote. RNAcentral describes it as "partial 18S ribosomal RNA". It matches the Rfam family "Eukaryotic small subunit ribosomal RNA", at positions 1470 to 1796 of the family's 1831-position model. The record is from RNAcentral.
CCCUUAGAUGUUCUGGGCUGCACGCGCGCUACACUGAUGCAUCCAACAAGUUUUCUCCCUUGUUCGGUAGGACUGGGUAAUCUUUUGAGUAUGCAUCGUGAUAGGGAUAGAUUAUUGAAAUUAUUAAUCUUGAACGAGGAAUUCCUAGUAAACGCAGAUCAUCAAUCUGCAUUGAUUACGUCCCUGCCCUUUGUACACACCGCCCGUCGCACCUACCGAUUGGAUGGUCCGGUGAAGCCUCGGGAUUGUGGUUCUUGCCGCUUUAUUGUGGCGUGACCGCGAGAACUUGUCUAAACCUUAUCAUCUAGAGGAAGGUGAAGUCGUAACA